CAUAGCCACAGCCCCCGGCCGCGGGCGGGGAACCGGCGGCUCCGCCUCUCAGCGGGGAGGGCGCUGAGGGGACCGGGCACAACCCGCAGCGCCUGUCACCUCGACACCCUGCACCGCUCGUGCCGGGAAACAACAGGCGAGCGGGGUAGCUACAGCCGGCGCGGCAGGAAGAGGAGGGGCAAGCGGGUAGAGGCGCGGCACGGUCCCGACGGGUGGCUCCGCCGGGCCGCAGGGUCACUUGUGCGGCCGCUGCUGGCCCGGUCCGGGCGAAGGGUGUUACUGGAGCGGCCCCGGGAGCAUAGCGAGGAAACGGAACUUGCCUGGCUGCACUGCCUUGAUCUGCUUUGGAAAUUAUGAGCUACUUGAGUGAAUAACAGUGUAAUGGAACAGACAUAAGGGUGUCAGAAGGCCUUUUUAACUAGCGUCUUGUUUCCAAAAGUAACCAUGAGUGGGUACCAAGGAAACAAGGGAGAACUCCACAGGCAUAUAUAAUAUUUUCCUGGAUAUUCUCCCAUCUUACAACCAGAUGACAUCCUCAGCUGAAUACUUUGGGGUUGGUGUCCCCCCGUCUUUUUACCCUCUAUUGGUAGAUUGCUCUACCAUUAGUUUCCCUGACCUCUGUGACUUUGCAUCAGCUCCUGCCUUUGGCACCAAGUACUACAGUCUACCACCAUUUUUAGGAAGCAUCUUCCUGGCACAUGUUUAAGUUGCGGCCUGGUAGCUCCAGCAGCAGCCACCCUUGAUCUUGCAUGAGAGGAGACAGUGACCGUCAGUUCCAGCACUUACUGUCUGCCUCCACAUGAGCCUCGAAGGAGGCUGCUCAGAGCAGAGCCUUUCCCAGCCUCCCAGACCACUCUGUUUACUUGCCUGCAAAAGCAUCUUGCUGAUCACUUGGGAGGAAGGUAGUGCUGGGUGGUGGCAGCUUGUUGUGAGUGGAUGCUGCAGGGAACAGGUCUGCCUGUGGUGACAUGCCUCAGAGAAGUCCUUGUAUUGCUUCCUCUUCUAUCUGCCAGGGACAGGUUUGAUAGCUUUUUCUUAUGUGUAAUAUGAACAUCUAAAAGCAUUGCUUGUACCUAAUAAUAGGUGUCCAUCUGCAUCUUAGUAUAUUUUAGUGAGUAUCAGGUAUAAAGCCCUACCAGUGAUAAAUGUUUCCUUCUUAACACGCACUUUCUACAGUAUUUUUCAUUUAAUGAUCUUAACUUUCUGACUGAACUUAUCUUACGGGCUUGCUAAUUUGAGACUAGCUAGGAUGAAACUGAAGAUAUUCAAUAACCUUUGUAAAUGUUUGCUUCAUGUGUUUCUCAGGAAGCUUCACAAGCCAAUUAUUUCAGUUUCCAUAGCUGGGUUUGAUGUCUUUGUCGUUCAACAUGCAUCCUGUUAGGAGUUGUCAUUAACUCCGUUGUCUUCUUUGUUUUGCAUGGUGCCAAGCACUUUGACAGAGCCCAAAUCAAAACUAAGUAUCCAUGGAUGGCUUUUAGCCUUAAUUCCAGGUUUAGCUGGCAUGGAUGAAACUGCCAACAGAUCAAAAGAAUGCAGGAGCUUUUUAUUUCCCUCGUGGUUUCAGAAGGCUUUAGUGUCUAUGUUAUCCAGACUGGCUCUUAGCACUUAGUCUAGAAACCUCUAUGUCCUGCUAUAAAACAUUAUUUUCUGAGGCUAGGAAAAGCUACAAUUACCUAAUGUCCAAAAUAAAUAGUUAACAUUG
Molecule: long non-coding RNA, 1702 nt
Organism: Pezoporus occidentalis (night parrot)
Lineage: Eukaryota; Metazoa; Chordata; Aves; Psittaciformes; Psittacidae
Exons: 2
Source: RefSeq, a predicted model, not a curated record